GUGAAGAAGACCCCGAUCGCCGAAAAAUGACGAGUGGUAUUAACGCUGA
Molecule: small nucleolar RNA, 49 nt
Filed under: Pyrobaculum aerophilum str. IM2
Lineage: Archaea; Thermoproteati; Thermoproteota; Thermoprotei; Thermoproteales; Thermoproteaceae
Description: PAEsR53
Source: RNAcentral